Molecule: transfer-messenger RNA, 366 nt
Filed under: Ferrovaceae
Lineage: Bacteria; Pseudomonadati; Pseudomonadota; Betaproteobacteria; Ferrovales
Also listed under: 1 other name
Description: Ferrovum sp021798835 Standard tmRNA
Rfam family: transfer-messenger RNA
About the family: Bacterial tmRNA, also known as 10Sa RNA or SsrA, is named for its dual tRNA and mRNA-like properties. Its role is to liberate the mRNA from a stalled ribosome. To accomplish this part of the tmRNA is used as a reading frame that ends in a translation stop signal.
Source: RNAcentral
GGGGGCGACCUGGCUUCGACGGCGGUUGCAAAGCAAUGUGGUGCAUGCCGAGGACCAGUGACCUCGUAAAUCCAUCUGGAAAAAACUUAGUUGCCAACGACGACAACUUCGCUCUGGCCGCUUGACGGCUAGACCCUGCCCCCAUUGGUCUCUGGGUGGGAUUCCAGGAAACUGGAUCGCAGGGUCAUUUACAGAGACUCGUGACCUGAUGGGGCUUCUUCAUCGGUCAUUAAAUCCAAGGAAGCUCGUCCCAAAGCAGUUCGUCGGUUGACGGCGGCGGGAUCAAAUCCAAAGAGCCUGACUAUGUAUGUAGAGCCACUUGUAGAGGACUGACGGACGCGGGUUCGAUUCCCGCCGCCUCCACCA